GGGGUUAUAGCUAGGUGGUAGAGCGUGUGCUUGGCAUGCACAGGGUCCUAGGUUCAAUCCCCAGUACCUCA
This 71-nucleotide transfer RNA is filed under the name Camelus bactrianus (Bactrian camel). It matches the Rfam family "tRNA". Rfam says of the family: Transfer RNA (tRNA) molecules are approximately 80 nucleotides in length. Their secondary structure includes four short double-helical elements and three loops (D, anti-codon, and T loops). RNAcentral also lists the same sequence under 2 other names. The record is from Rfam by way of RNAcentral. Lineage: Eukaryota; Metazoa; Chordata; Mammalia; Artiodactyla; Camelidae.